CUCAAACAAUACAGUGAGCAUCUGCCAUAAUUUGAUCACCUCUGGGGAACUGAAGGAAUUAAAUAACGAUUUUCACAUGGGCGAGUUUCCCUAUCCCUAAAAGCUAAAUUUAAUUGCAAGGAGGGACCAACACAUAGGACAGGGCUGUGCAACCUUUAAUAUAUCUACAUAUUGGUCUUGCUAAAAUGCAGAUUCACAUCCAGGGGCAGGCCCCUGAAUUUCCAACAAGCUUGGAGGUGAUGUGAAUAAUUUUGAAUAAUAAAGGUCCUAGGGCGAUGGUUUGCAACUCGGGGUAUAUAUGAGAAUCACUCAGAAGGCUUUUAGAAAUCCCAAUGCCGAGAUCACGCUCCAGAAUAAACAAAUCAGAAUCUGAGGGUGGCAGAAGGUAGAAACCAAAUAUCAGCCUUUUUUUUUUUAAUUCCCAGGUGAUUUUGAUAUGCUGCUAAGGUUUGAUAAGAGAAAUGAGAUUCAGAGAACAGAUUAUAUUGUUGAAGAGCUUGACUGGAAAUGAUCCAAACGGAAACAUUGGCUCUUCCUGGGGUUCCAGCCUGCUGUCUUGACAGGAACUAUACCAUCAGCUCUCCUGGGUCUCUUACAUGCCAAGUCAUCCUGCAGAUCUGGGACUCACUCCGUAAUCAGCUUGAUUGCUGUAAGUUGAACACGUCAGUGGCAUGGGCACCAGCUGCACAACCCUAGGAGCCACCAAACACAGUAUAUUCUAUAUAAAUGUUGCUGCCAGGAGCCCCAGUUCAAACUACAAUAUGGAGUUUUGCUCUUUUUUGCCCAGGCUGGAGUGCGAUGGCACAAUCUUGGCUCACUGCAACCUCCACCUCUUGGGUUCAAGCAAUGCUUCUGCCUCAGCCUCCCAAGUAGCUGGGAUUACAGAGACAGGGUUUCACCAUGUUGGACAGGCCGGGCACCUGACCUCAAGUGAUCUGCCCGCCUCAGCCUGCCAAAAGUCUUGCUCUGUCACCCAGGCUGGAGUACAUUGGCGCAAUCUCAGCUCACUGCAACCUCUGCCUCCUGGGUUCAAGCGAUUCUCCUUCCCCAGGCUCCUGAGUGGCUGGGAUUACAGGCACCCACCACCAUGCCCAGCUAAUUUUUGUAUUUUUAGUAGAAACAGGUUUUUGCCAUACUGGCCACGCUGGUCUCAAACUCCUAACCUCAGGUGAUCCACCCACCUCGGCCUCCCAAAACGCUGGUGAGCUACCACACUCGGCCUUAUCCAGCAUUUUUAAGUGGCAGAAAAGCUUCUCCAGAUAUCUAGUGAGUCAUACAGCUGGAAACAGAAGUUGAAAAAAAAAGUUUUAUAAUAUUAAAAUGUUAAGGUUUUACUUCUUUCCCAAUUAACAUUAAUGAUUCUUGAAAUCGUUGGUCAGAUGACUGUAUGUCAAAAAGCAAUGGUUAAUAUGAAAUUAAUAUUUAAAAAAAGGAAUCUGUUAAUGUCAAAGAUGGACUUUACUAAGCUUUUCUUAAAUAUUCUAAAAAUUCAAUUUAUCUGGAGGGUGUUAACAUGAAUAAUUUAAAAUUCAUUUCCCAACUGCAAGGGAAAUCAAAUUGAUUCCAAUGGUUUUCCUGAAUCUGAAGGCUUGGUUAUUUUUAAUAAUUUUUUUUGGAUGAUAAAUGGGUGGCAAUAUGAUGAUAGAUGAGACAGAGAUUAUUGUUACAGCAUAUUAAGAAAACUUUAGACACUGAUGCUAUCAUAACCAAGGGUGAGCCUAGGUGUAGAAGUCACAAUGUUCCUGAAGCAGAAUGUUGGUCAACUGGAUGAGACCAGUCAACUAACAGAAAUCAGCUGUGAUGCCCACAGCAACCAUGCUUUCAAGAACUCAGUGGGCCGGAUGCUGGAGAGUAGGUGGUGCUGUUUUAAUGAUUUACAGUAAGAUGCCCCAUUAAAGGACUGAAUCAUUGCAGGAAUCCCCCCAUAUAUGGAAACCUAGGUACUCCCUGGGUUCCUUCUAGGUGGCAAUGUAAUCCAAGCGUAUAAACGUGAUACUGCUGACCCUACAUCUGAUUUGGCCCAUCUGGCUGACUAGGGGGCUGUCUCCACCAUUCCAUGAGUUUUUUCUCCUGUGUACCACCCACUGCACCCUGCAUUGUGCACUCUGUUGAGGAGGACAAUUACUUCAGAUACAGCUGGAUUGUUCUUUAAAGUCAAACAUAUGGGAAUUGGGGGCUUCCCUCCAAAUCAGUUCGUAAGUCCAUUUGUAAGAACUAUAUGUGACGGCAUGCUUGAAAGCUUCAGCUACAACAACUUCAUUUCUUAAAAAGUGAUGGAUUCAAUAAUGUUAGAUGGAUUUGAUAGGCAUGUAUUAUAUUAUGGAAAAAUGAAAAUGCAUUCUCUGGAGACACACUGGUAGAUUUCUAAAUUAUGUCAUAUGCUUGGAUUUAGCCUGCAACAACUGCUAUACUCUGAAUUGUUCAUCUCCGGACAAGUAUUUAGUUUGUGGAAUUUGAUUUAAUAGUGCCCCUUAAGGUAUUAGAGUUUGUCUUUCCGGUCCACGUUAAAAGUCUCUGACCUUAAACUCUGUACAAAGAAAGCCCUUCAAAGAAAGCUCGGGGCUGAAUUGAGGAGGAUUCUGGGUAGAAUCCUCUCCGUCUGGGAUCCCCACCCUAUUAGUUUACUUGAGGUGUGGCGCUCCUUCUAACAAGUUCAGCUUGAAGACUCUGAACUGGCUAAUGCCGUUGUUUAUUCCAUUACAUAUGUAUUAUGUUGGUUUGUAUCCCCACAGAAUCACCAAGCCCAGUUUACAGGUUGUUCUUCUUUAUAGACCUGUGAAAUCCCCUGGGUGUUCCAAAGAGCUUUGGGGUUUCUGGGAAUGUGGCAGAAAGAAUACAGUAGGACGCGUAUUAGGUGAUGUCUGCGCUGUUCCUUCAUGUGAAAGAGCAGUGCGUAUGUAAGCAAUGUUAGGGCUCUGCAGGCAAGAGUCAGAACUGGGGGGAAACCGGCAGUUCAUUAUGUCCAGCACCUUCCAUCUCAAUUGACACAUCUCAUAAAGUCGUUUUUUAAUAAAUCAGCUGAGUCAUAGAGAAGUGUAAGUGAUAUGGUUUGGCUGUGUCCCCACACUAAUCUCAUCUUGAAUUCCGACAUGUUGUGGGAGGGACCCCGUGGGAGGUAAUUGAAGCAUGGGGGCAGGUCUUUCCCAUGUUUUUCUUGUGAUAGUGAGUAAGUCUCACGAGAUCUGAUAGUUGCUAUAAGGGGAAGUUUUCCUGCACAAGCUCUCUCUUUACCUGCAGCCAUCCACAUAAGAUGUGACUUGCUCCUCCUCGCCUUCCGCCAUGAUUGUGAGGCCCCCCCACCAGCCAUAUGGAACUAUAAGUCCAAUUAAACCUCUUUCUUUUGUAAAUUGCCCAGUCGCGAGUACGUCUUUAUCAGCAGUGUGAAAACAGACUAAUACAGUAAGUCAUUUUUGCCUGAGAUUAGAUAUUACAGAAAGUCACACAGAAGUGUUCCAUGAAGUUUAGAAAUAAAAAUUCUAGAAGACAUACAUUUGUCAUGUAAUGGUUGAUUUUUCUUCAAAAUAUUCAGUGAAUGUACAAAACCCAUUUUAAACUAAGGACAUGUACAAAUUACUUAAAUUCGUCCCCAGAUGAACAAUUGGAGAAAAUAUGAAUAAUGGGGGAAAAUCUAACAUGUGCAGUAUUCAAAAUUAAUUAAAGAAAGGGCAAAUCUUUGGCAUCAAAUGGAACAAUGUUUUACUAGAGGUAUGCAUAAAAGGAACACUGACAUGAAGGAAAGCAUAUUAAAAUCUUGUGUUUGAAGAUUCACUGUUCCCUAGAGUUGCUCUAGUAAUUAAGAUUAGCAAGAAAUUUGUCAGAUAUUAAAACAAAAGAAGAGUUUCAUCAGUAUCACCAGCAAUCUAUUGUUAAACAUAAAGUAGCCAAGGAAGCACCUUAGGACCAUGUUUAAGAGCUCAGGGAAUCCCCCUCCACCCCAUAGGAUUCCUGUCAGUUUACCUCCAGAGAAUGGGCUUCUGCUAGAAGUCUGGGAGCACUGGAUUAGUCAAGAAGGCCAAAUACAAGGAUCAAAAGGACACCACAGCUGGGCAUGGUACUCACACCUGUAACUCCAGUGCUUUAGGAGGCAGAGGCAGGAGGAUCACUUGAGCCCAGGGGUUCAAGGCUGCAAUGAGCUAUGAUGGCGCCACUGCACCCCAGCCUGAGCAACAGAGCAGCAACCUGUAUAUACAUAUAUAUAUACACACACACACACACACACGUAUAUAUACUUAUAUAUAUGUGUGUAUAUAUAUAUAUACAUCUUAUCCCUGCCAGGUAGCCAUGGAAUAAGGAUGUGAAGGUCUAUAGGCACACCAGCUCUGACUGAGCAAACAGUGGUCAGAAGGGAGGAAGAAGCUUUUCUGGAUCAAAUGUGUCAAGCAGGCCCUGAGAAGAAAAGACAGAGCAGCACAUGAUGGCAGCCAUACAUAGGACAUGAAAAGGCAGAAGCCAAAGAAGAAUAGGUAGAAAAAGCCAAUGGUCCUGUUUUGGUCUUUUCAGUUACUCUUCAGUACACCGUCAGCUACUUAAUCUCCCUUUCCUCUUGUUUAAGUGAAAGAUAAUAUAACAAUAACAAAACAGUUGUAUUUAUUUUUAACAUAACAUUAUUGUAUAUAAACAUUUAUAUAAAAACAAAAUAGGACAAAUCACUAAUGGUAAGUUUUUAAAAAUAAUUAAAAUGGUGUGUUUAGAGGGGUAUGAAAAUGGAAUUGUUAAACUCUAAAAGAGCACACUGUACAUGAAUGCCUUAGAAGAAGCAACUCAAUAGGAUGAUAUAUUUUAAGGGAUUGAAUAAUAGAAUGUUCUUCCCAGAAUCUUCUACAAUGGUAAUAUCAGCAUAGUGCAUUUAUUCGUAGUACAACCAUGUAUUUUGAGUAACAUGCCUUUCAAAAACAGUACUGAAUAUACAAUGCAUAGACCACCUAGAAUAGGUAUGAAAGAAAGAAAACUGAAAUGAAUAAAAUGGGGAAAAUUCCAUGUUUUAUUCUAUGGGAGAUAAAUUUCUUAUAUAUCCAUUAGAAUUGCCUAUGAAAAUCAAACCACAAUUUGAGUCCAUUUUCCUCAUGAUAUUCUAAUAACCAGGACUUCCAUUUUCAUCAAAUAGAAUUUAUUAUACAUUUACUUUUGAAUCACAUUGGGCUGGGUAUUACUUAAAACAUGGCGAAUAGAAAUAGUUCAUACCUCUUAGAAGCUUAUAGAUUAAAUGGAUAGUGGUAAACACGCAUAUGUAAAAAUCAUGCACACAUAAUACAUACUUAGUAGUACAUGUCUAAACAACAUGAAUACAUGCUAAACUAAAUUACUUCUAGUGCUUUUAGCAUAAUAUAAUGGAAAAAUAGUUUUUAAGUGUGUUUAGCCAUCUGAUUAGCUGAGACACAAACUCUCCCUGGAAGCCUACAGCUGAGGUUUGAGGGGGAAGAGGGAAAGCUUUCAGCCUAUACAGGUUGGGGGAUUGGAACAGAGACCCUCACAUAACACUGGACCUCCAAAUUGCAAAGAGUUCUUACCUUUAGAGAUACACAGAUGAAACUAUAGGAUGUCUGGCAUUUUCUUCAAAAUAAUCCAGGGGUGGGAGGAAUGGGUAGAGAUUACAGAUGCAAAAAAGAUUGACUAUGAGUCCAUAAUUAUAGAAGCUGGGUAUGGCUACAUGGAGGCUUAUUAGAAUAUUCUAUUUUGUAUGCUUGAAAUUUUCUAAGAUAAAAAGUUUUAUUUAAGAACCAUUAAAAGAAAAACCAAAAAUUGUGUAAUGGAAUUGAAACAAAGCUGACACAAGAUGAGAAUCCAAAAUGUCUAAAGAACUUCUAGAAAUCAAUAAGAGAAAGACAAAGAAACCCAUUGAAAGAUGGUUUAAACAAACAAAUAAACCGACAUUUUAUGAAAUAAAAAAAUGCCCAGACCAAACGUCAGAAGAUGUGCAGUCUCAUUAGUAAGCAGGAAAAAGCAAAUUAAAACCACAAUGAGAUAUUCUGUAUGUUAUGAUAUGCUAGGUAAUAUUGUUGCCACCAACACCCAAGAAUCAUACCAACAAAAUUUUACUUCUCACUCACACAAAUGUCCAGUUUAGGUCAUCUGGGAACUGUGGUCAGUCAUCUGUUCAUUAUGAUCACUCAUGUUCCCAGGGUCACACAACAGUUACCUCCGAUGUUGUAGGCCUCCUUGUCAGAGGGAAGGAAAGCAUGGGGGUUUUUGCAUCAGUAAGUAAUUGCUCCAGCCAGGAGCUGGCAGACAUUCCUUCACAAUUCAUUACAAGUCAAACUCACUCAUAACAAGGAUUUAGGAAGUGCAAUUCCUUCUACUAUGUGCUUGGAAGCAGAGAAAACUGGAAAUGUUUAGGGAAAACAAAUGACUUUCACAGAUGCCAGUUUUUUUCUAUCAGAUUGGCAAAACUAUAUAGUCUGACAAAACCAAAUAUUGGUGAAGAUGUAGAGCAAUAAAAACACUUACACACUUUUGACUGAAGAGUAAAUUGGUACCACUACUUUAAAAAACAAUUUAGUGUUAUUUAGCAAAGUUGAAAAUUCAUAUAGUCUUCGACUCAGCAAUACCACUCUAAGAUACAUACUUUAGAAAUAGUUUUGCAUAUGUGCACCAAAGACAUAUUCAAAUAUGGUCAUAGAAGCACUGUUUGUACCAGCGAAUCAAACAAGCAAAAAGAAAAACUGGAAAUAGCUCUCAUGUCCGCAGAUAGUGGAUAAUUUUUUGAAUAUUCAUUUAAUGAAAUACCAUUUAGGAUAGAAUAUGAAUGAACAGAUACAUGUUCAUCUGGUUGAAUUUCAGAAACAUAUUGAAUGAAAAAAGUAAGCCUAGAAUUAUUGUAUUUGACAAAGGUCUAAAAAAGUUAAAAUUAAUAUAUUAUUUUAGGAUUACAUACUUAAGCAAAAAUAAAUAAUUAAAAGUUAGUUUAACACAAAAUUCAAGAUAUUGUACCUUUGAGUACACUUUGAGUGUAUCAAGGUAGGGAUGUUACCAGGGACAGAUUUAAGGUAUUGAUAAUAUUCUUUUCGUCAAGUUGUUUGGAGUUGUAAACAUUGUUCACUUUGUUAUUAUUCUUUAACUUGUACAUAUACAGUAUAUGUACUCUAUGCAUGCAAAAAAGCAUAGAAAUAUAUCUUAUAUUGUGGAGAAAAAUCAGUCAAUGGAAACAGAACAAAAAUGACACAGAUAGUAGAACUAGUAGUCAAGGACAUUAAAAGAACUAUUAUAAAUAUGUUUCAAAUGUUCAAGAAGGUACAGGAAAUAGAAAAACAAAAAAUAGAGAAUAUCAUUGGAAUAAAAAACUGGUUUUUUGAGAUCAGUGAGUGAUAAACCUUUAGCUGGAUUCAUCAAGAAAAAAAUAGAAAUGAUACAAAUUAUUAAUUAUAGAAAUGAGAGAGAGGAUACCAAUACAGUUGUAGAUACUAAAAGUAUAAGAAAAUAUUACAACCAUCUUUUUUGCCAUAAUAUUUGACAACUUAGAUAAAAUGGACAAAUUCUUUGAAAGAAACCACCUGCCAGAGAUCACUCAAGAAGACAUAGAUUACCUGGAUAGCUCAAUAGCUAUUAAAGUUAUUAAAGGCUUCUAACUAUAAAGCUAUUAUAGUUAGAAACCUCCCCAUAAAACAAACAAACGAACAAACAAACAAAAACCCAGAAAACACAUCAAGCCAAGAUGGCUUCUCUGGUUAAUUCUACCAGACACUUAAAUCAGAAAGAAUAUCAAUUCUACACAAAACUUCAAGAAAAUCAAAGAGGAUAAAACACUUUGCUAUCCAUGUUGGGCGCAGUGGCUCAUGCCUCUAAUCCCAGCAUUCUGAGAGGUUGAGAUGGGAGGAUUGAGGCCAGGAGUUUGAGACUAGCCUGGUCAACAUAGUGAGACCCCACCUCUACAAAAACAAAAACAAAAAAAAACUGGAUGUGGUGGCACACACCCGUGGUCCUAGCUACUUGGGAGGGUGAGGCAGGAGGGUCACUUGAGCCCAGGAAAUCAAGGCUACAGUGAGCUGAUAUUGCACCACUGCACUCCAGCCUAGGCAUAGAGUGAGACCCUGUCUAAAAACAAACAGACAAACAAAAACCCACUUUGCAACUCAAUCUAUGAAGCCAGCAUUACCUUGAUACCAAAACCAAAGAUAUUACAAGAAAAGAAAAUCUACAAAUCAUGUCCCCUGUGAACAUAGUGACAAACACUGUUUAUAAAUUUUACCAAAUAAAAGGUUUAUCUCAAGAAUGCAAGGUUGGUUUAACAUUUGAAAAUCAACCCAUGUAAUUCACCAUAUUAAUACACUUAAAAAGAAACACCAUAUGGUCACCUCAAUAUAUGCAGAAAAGCAUAUGACAAAAAUUCAACAUCUAUUCAUGAUGAAAAAAUUUAAAAAAGAAAAGAAGAAAAUUCAACCACAUAAAGGGCAGCUAUGAAAAGCCUACAGUUAACACCUCACCUAAUGGUGAAAGACUGAAUGCUUUUCAUUUAAGAACAGUGCAAGUAUAUCCAUUCUAUCACUUCUACUUGUCAUUGUAACAAAGAUUAUGGCAAAUGUAUUAAUGAAAGAAAAAGAAAUAACAAAGGCAUACAGGUUAAAAAGAAAGGCAUAAAGCAGUCUCUAUUAACAGACAACAUGACUGUGGAAAAUUCUUUGAACCAGUAUAGGUGAUUUAAAAAAAAUCUAAGAAACCUACACACACAAAAAUAUUGGAACUAUUCAGUGAGUUUAGCAAGGUUAAAGGAUAAAGAGUAAUAUAUAAAAAUCAAUUUUGUUUCUAUACAGUAGUAAAGAUCAAUCCAAAAUUGCAAUAAAAAUACCAUUUAAAAUAGCAGAAAAUAUGAACUUAAGUAUUGGUUUGAAGAAAACUUAUGCAAGACCUUUAUAUCAAAAACCAUAAAACAUUGUUGAGAUAAUUGAAAAGAUGAGAUAUACAUGCCCAUAAAUCAAAAACUAUAUUAUUUAGAUAUCUAUUCUCCCCACAUUGAUCUUUAGAUUAAAUGCAAUGCCAAUAAAAAAAUCAGCAGGCUUGUUUUUUAGAAAUUGACAAACUGAUUCUAAAAUUUAUAUGGAAGUUCAAAAGAUGUAGAAUAGUCAAAAACAUCUGAAAAAGAAUAAAGUUGUAGAACUCACACUAUACACUUGAGUUUAUAUUUAGGGUUUAUCAUGGAGCUAUGGUAAUCAAGACAGUGUGGUAUUAUCAUAAUGAUAGAUAUACAAAGAUCAAUGGAACACUCUAGAAAGUUUAGAAACAGACCCACACAUAUAUAUCAGUUGACCUCUUUCAAAGGGAAACUGGGUGAAGAAAUAAUAAUCUUUGUUUUUUUUUUUUUUUUUUUUUUGAGACAGGUCUUGCUCUGUCACCCAGGCUGGAGUGCAGUGGUGAGAUCUCGGCUCACUGCAACCUCCGCCUCCCAGGUUCAAGUGAUUCUCCUGCCUCAGCCACCAGGGAUGCUGGGAUUACAGGCAUAUGCCACCACGCGUGGCUAAUUUUUGUAUUUUUAGUAGAGAUGGGGUUUUGCCAUGUUGCUCAGGCUGGUCUCUUCUGAGUUCAAAUGAUCUGCCCGCCUCAGCCCCCCGAAGUGCUGGAAUUAUAGGUGUUAGCCACUGUGCCUGGCCAAAAUUGAACACUUUUGCUCUUCAAAAAAAUGAAAUGAAAUGAAAAAGAGGAAAUGAAAAGGCAAGCCAAAAUCUGGGCAAAAUUAUCUGCAAAAUAUAUAUUUUAUGAAGGGUUUGCAUUUUAUAUAAAAUAAACCCUUACAACUUAAUAAGAAGAGAAACAACCUAAUUAAAAUACUGUGCAAAAAUCAAAUAGACAUUUUACAAAAAAGAAACUGUACAAACAGGAAAUAAGCACAUAAAAAGAUGCUGGACAUCAUUAGUCAUUAGGAAAAUUCAAGUUUAAAUCACGGUGAGUUGACACCUAGCAUGAUGGCAAUAAUCAAAAAGACACAAUAAGUGUUGGGAAGGAUAUGGAGCAACUAAAACUCUCAUGCACUGCUGGUGGGAAUGGAAAAUGGCACAACACUUUUGAGAACAAUUUUAUAGCUUGAAAAGUUAAACAUUCUCUACUAUAUGUGUCAACCUAGGUAUUUACCCAAGAGAAACGAAAGCAUAUGUCCACAUAAGGACUUGUCCACGAAUGUUAACAGCAGCUUUAUUUGUAAUAGUCAAAAGCUGGGAACAACCCAGAUGUCCUUGAACAAGUAAAUGGACAAAUAUAUUUCAGUCCAAUUCAGCAAUGAAUUCAGCAAUGAAAAGGAGUGAACUAUUGAUAUGCAUAACAUAGAUGAAUCUUAAAGUAACUACACAAAGUGAAAGAUACCAAUUAAUAUAAUUGUAUUUAUUUAAAAAUUUUAAAAAUGCAAGCUAAUCUAUAGUAAUGGAAAGCUGAUCAGCAAUUGCCUGGUGACAGAGAUGGCAGGAGGGAGGAAACUUUUGGGGGCAAUGAGAAUGUUUGUUAUCUUGUGAUGAUGGGUUUCAUGGGUUCAUACAUAGCUGAAACUGAUCAAAUUGUAUACUUUAUAUUUAGCUUAUUGUAUGCCAGUUAUACCUUAAUAAGAUUGUAAAAAAAAAUGGAUAUUGUCUCUUAGGUAAUAAUUGCUCAUAUGCAUAUGCCCAUUAACAUAUGUGUCAAUUUUCAGGGUACCAUAUUCUUUGCUUAGAGCAGGAAAUA
RNAcentral lists this long non-coding RNA (10635 nucleotides) under Homo sapiens (human). Its description in RNAcentral is "HSALNT0340027". Lineage: Eukaryota; Metazoa; Chordata; Mammalia; Primates; Hominidae. The record is from RNAcentral.